UUCAGGGAGUUACCCCAGAGUGCAGUCUGGACGAUGGGGCGGGGCGACACUUCGAGGCGGAGCGACACGUGUCGCCCCGCCCAUAUUUGUUUUCCCCGCCUUUGACAUUUUCCUCCGAGCCAGCAGGGGGCAGUUUGCGUUGAAACAAACAGAACGGUGGCAACUACAGCAGCAGAGUAAUAACGCUAUUCCGUUGAUUGCUUGAGGUGAGUAAAAGUGGUUGUGUAAAUAUCUUAUAAUAUGAAAUGCGAUGUUCGAUCAUUUAUUUAUCCAUGGUACGUUCAAUUUGAAUAAUUAUUGUUAAUAAUUGUUAUAAAUUGCUCAUUUUAUUGUUCUUUGUGGAUUGUAACAGUACACUCUGUACAUGGCUUUAGUUCAUAGGUUCGAUUUUACAGAGGAUGACAUGAUCAGGAGGUGGUGGUGUUCUGUUCUCCUGGACAGCUUUACUCCGCAAAUAGCUCAACCACUGAGGAGAACUUCACCAUUCACCAUGUCUUCAGGCAGAGUCCAGCAAAGCAGCUUCCACUGGAAAUCCUCAGGGAAGUUAUUUUGUCGGCGGGUGACUCUGCAUAUUUGACACUUUCUCUGGUUUGCAGAUGGUUUAGGGUUGUGCUCCGAAGUUUUUCGGAAAGCGGCACAGUUUGCCUGGCUAGAGAUUGUGGCCAACUGGAAGAAUUGUCCUCCUGUCUUCUGACCGGAACGAUAUCAGACGGAUGUACAGCAUCAGGGAACGCUUGCAGUGCAGAGCCCUUUUCAAGUUUAACCCACCAGGGUACAGGGAAGAGACCGGCGUGGUGAUCUUCUGGGCUUUUGUUUACACAGGAUUUUGUUCCAAGGACUUUUUUUUUUUUUUUUUUUUGCGGCAUGAAACACAUUUGUGUGUUAAGUUCAUUGAAGGGAAAUAACUGGUUUUGAUUAUUAAUUGAUGUAAUUUAAAGUUAAACUUUGCACUGUAUAAUGUUUUAAUAAAAAAGCUAUGGAAAACACGUGCAU
Long non-coding RNA from Carassius gibelio (silver crucian carp), 993 nucleotides. RefSeq lists it as uncharacterized. NCBI's taxonomy places the organism in Eukaryota, Metazoa, Chordata, Actinopteri, Cypriniformes, Cyprinidae. The transcript has 5 exons. The record is from RefSeq and is a predicted model, not a curated record.